This 1128-nucleotide non-coding RNA is filed under the name Omnitrophica WOR_2 bacterium RIFCSPHIGHO2_02_FULL_46_37. RNAcentral's name for it is "partial 23S ribosomal RNA". It matches the Rfam family "Bacterial large subunit ribosomal RNA", at positions 2522 to 2925 of the family's 2925-position model. Lineage: Bacteria; Pseudomonadati; Candidatus Omnitrophota. The record is from RNAcentral.
CACCUCGAUGUCGGCUCAUCGUAUCCUGGGGCUGGAUAAGGUCCCAAGGGUCCGGCUGUUCGCCGGUUAAAACGGUACGCGAGCUGGGUUUAGAACGUAGAUAACACUGCGUUUUUCCGUAGUAAUACGGAAAAAGUCUUGACUUAUAUCGGUGGAGCCCGACUUACACAUACCGAACGUGUAAAGGGUAAUACCGAGGGAAGAUUAUAGAUGGAAGAAACAGUAAAAGCUUAUAUAGCUGGUUUUCUUGACGGCGAUGGAAGCAUAAUGUUUCAGCUUAUCGAACGAAAAGGCUAUGUCUAUGGCUAUCAAAUUCGGGCAAGUGUAUGCUUUUAUCAAGACUCUAACCAUAAAGAUGGAUUAAGGUGGUUAAGAGAAAAAAUCGGGUUCGGUUACAUCCGAGACAGAAACGAUGGUGUGAGUGAUUAUACUAUCGUAGGUUAUGAGAAAGCAGAACAAGUGCUCAAAAUGGUUAAACCAUACGCAGUUUUUAAAACAGUUCAUGUAAGCAGAGCGUUAGAGCUUUUAGACGCUAUACGAGAAAAUCGAAAGCCAAGCCCGGAACAAUUUUUGGGUCUGGCAAAGCUGGUUGAUUCUUACGCAAUCCUUAACUAUUCAAAAAAGAAGAUAAAUAAUGCGGUUAAAGUAGAAGAAUUUUUGAAUAGAAAGGGUCUAUUAAUCCCCGUAACGACUGAUUCCUGCAAUAAGGAUGAGAUGGUUCUCAAUUUAUAAGAGCCAUAAUACGUCAACUCCCCGAAAGGGGAUGAAGAUAUAGUCUGUGCCGCUGGUAACAGUGUGUAAAACAUGCGUGAGACAGUUCGGUCUCUAUCUGAUGUGGGUGUAAGGAUACUUGAAGAGGAGCUCCCUAUAGUACGAGAGGACCUGGGGAGACGGACCUCUGGUGUUUCAGUUGUCCUGCCAAGGGCAGAAGCUGAGUAGCCAUGUUCGGAAGGGAUAAGCGCUGAAAGCAUCUAAGUGCCAAGCCCCCCUCAAAAAUAGGUAUCCCUUCCCGACACCGUAAGGCGUCGGGAUGAAGGCUGGCCGGAGACUACGGCCUUGAUAGGCGCAGGGUGUAAGAUCCGUAAGGAUUUGAGCUGAUGCGUACUAAUAGCCAAUCGGCUUGACCAC